Molecule: transfer RNA, 73 nt
Filed under: Deinococcus sp.
Lineage: Bacteria; Thermotogati; Deinococcota; Deinococci; Deinococcales; Deinococcaceae
Description: tRNA-Phe
Rfam family: tRNA
About the family: Transfer RNA (tRNA) molecules are approximately 80 nucleotides in length. Their secondary structure includes four short double-helical elements and three loops (D, anti-codon, and T loops). Further hydrogen bonds mediate the characteristic L-shaped molecular structure. tRNAs have two regions of fundamental functional importance: the anti-codon, which is responsible for specific mRNA codon recognition, and the 3' end, to which the tRNAs corresponding amino acid is attached (by aminoacyl-tRNA synthetases). tRNAs cope with the degeneracy of the genetic code in two manners: having more than one tRNA (with a specific anti-codon) for a particular amino acid; and 'wobble' base-pairing, i.e. permitting non-standard base-pairing at the 3rd anti-codon position.
Source: RNAcentral
GCCAGGAUAGCUCAGCUGGUAGAGCGCGUCGCUGAAAACGACGAAGUCCCCAGUUCGACUCUGGGUCCUGGCA